UCUCGACUGUCGCUGUGCGACAUAAGUCAUCAAUUAGGGCACCAUGUCAAUAUCAAUUAUUUAUAUACACACCUUUGGCCCGUAUAGCCUCUCCCGGAAGUAAAAUUGCUAUUUUUCAGCACUGAGUCUGUAACGUAGAGGAGAAGCGUUUGGGCUAAACUCGCGACAGAGAAGAUUGUCUCCAUUCAAUUUUUUGCUUCCGGAUGAAUUAAAUCUUCUUCACCUUGGCAUCAUGGCCAGAGAUAACACAUUUCUCACGUGUGACAUGCGAUCCUAAGAGAAGAAUGCGGCUGUGCCCCACCUUCCUGCUGCAGCGCUGGCUGUGGUUGUGUGUGUGCGCCAGACAGUGGCACUGCAGCAAUGGGAACAACUGCAGACUACCGCUGUGUGUGAGGCAGAUAGGGGCCUACCUCAGACUGAUGGUCGACUCCCUCUAUUACAACACCCUCACCAACUCUGAUGUCGUCAUGGACUCACUGAUGGAACCCAUCUUCUGGAUGGUGGACCUACUCACCCGCAGGUUCGGGGCGGUGUUUGUAUGUCUGUUAGUGAUACUGACCACUUCUAUCCUGCUGGUAGUCUAUGUGGUUAUGCUGCCCCUGAUCAUCAACACGUACUCUCCAUCCUGGAUAGCCUGGCACAUGAGUUAUGGACACUGGAACCUCGUCAUGAUCGUCUUCCACUAUUAUAAAGCUACCAAUACUGGCCCAGGAUACCCCCCUACGAUGAAAAAUUCGAUUCCAUUUGUGUCCAUGUGUAAGAAGUGUAUCAUCCCCAAACCAGCCAGAACUCACCACUGUGCCAUCUGCAACACGUGCAUUUUGAAAAUGGACCAUCAUUGUCCGUGGCUGAAUAACUGUGUCGGCCAUUUUAACCAGCGCUACUUCUUCUGCUUCUGUGUCUCCAUGACCCUGGGCUGUGUCUACUGCAGCAUCAGUGGCCGGAACCUUUUCCUAGAUGCUUAUAGUGCUAUAGAGUGUUUCUUCUGUUUGUCUAACUCUUGGUGGUCUGGGGGUGUGUUUUUGCGUUGUCCCGAGAGCGCUUCAAACACAUGGACUUUGGAUAAAUCAGGUGACAGGGAUGGGGCAACUCAGAGGCAUCUUACCGCCUGUGCAGGUGUUUGUAUGACCUCUGUCUGUUGUCAAUCAGAGCACCUACCAGACUCCUCCCUUAACGUUCAGAGACAAGAUGUUCCACAUGAGUGUCAUUUACAUGUGGGUGUUAACCAGUGUGGUGGCUGUAGCUCUUGGGGGCCUGACUAUCUGGCACGCAGUGCUGAUAUCCCGAGGAGAGACCAGCAUAGAGAGACACCUCAACAACAAGGAGACCAAACGGAUGCGGAAAUGUGGCAAGGUGUACAAGAACUCCUUUAACUAUGGCAGACUGAACAACUGGAAAGUCUUCUUAGGUGUGGAGAAGAAAAGUCAUUGGCUGACGCGAGUCCUCCUACCCUCUGGACAUGUCCCCAUUGGGAACGGCCUGACCUGGGACAUCUAUCCAUUCAGAAAAGACAUGAUGCCCGUCUGAGCCAAAUACAAAAUAACUGAAUUGAGACUUCUACAAAAAGAGGAAACACCUGAUGGCUGUCUGACCACAGAACUUCAUCUCCCAGCGGACCCUACAUAUACUAAUGUCAAAUGACCAGGUUUUGUAGACGAGCAGGAGAGUGAAUACUGGGAGGACAACAGGGAAGAGAUGGGGAAUGUUUGUGGCUCCUAAGUGAAACAACCCUAGAAAAUGUUUCAACCCUGGUCCUGGCAGUGGUCUGGGCUUACGUACUAAAGGCCUACCACACUCCAGCACUUGUAAUGUGGGGAUGAACUGUUUCAUAAUGUUUUCAGACUGUACAACAGAGUACCACAGUAUGAGUCAUCAUAUUACCCAUAAGACCUAGAGGUCAAACAGGGAAAUUAUUCCAAUUUGUUUUUCCACCAUUCACUUUUCCCAUAGGGUUUUUAGAAACACUUAAAAUAAAGGCUGGGUUUUGUUUUGAUAACCGUAUAAAUCUUUCUAGAACAAGGUGACUUAUCAAUGUAUUUACCCCCCCGCCAAAUGAAACGCUACUAUGGCAAUCAUCAUAAAGGACUACAAAUGCCAUGAUGAUCUGGACGAGACUUCUGAAUCAAGGAAAAGGUAAGAAUCUAUGGAUUAACUAUCUAAUGUCAGCUAAAUGUAAUGAAUAAAUUGGCACCAUUUCUUUAGAUGGACAAUUCUGUCAACUGCAAGUUUUCAAUUGACAGAAUACCUGUUAGCUAGAGAUGACAUGCAGGGAUUUGUAGUCUUUCAUAAUGUCUCUAUUUGAUGCUAAUUUCUAUUUUGAUUUCUGACAAGUCACCUUGUCAGAGAUUUACAUGGUUAUCAAAACGUCACGACGCCAGGGUAACUCUACACAAAACACAGCCGUUAUUUUAAGUGUUUCUAAAAUCUCCUAUGGGGAAAAAUGAAUGGUGGAAAAACGAUUGGAACCAUUUCCCUGUUUGACCGCUAGGUUUUAUGGGUAUUAUGACACGUCCACAAUGGGACUCUAUGGUGUACAUUAGGCAUGUCAAACUCAUUCCAUGGAGGGCCAAGUGUCUGCAGGCUUUUGGGUUUUUCCUUUCAAUUAAGCCCUAGACAACCAGGUGUGGGGAGUUCCUUACUAAUUAGUGACCUUAACUCAUCAAGUACAAGGGAGGUACUUGAUGAGCGAUAUCUGUUUGCGAUAUUACAUUUCCUUAAAACAAUAACAAAUGUCGGCUUUAAUCUAAUUUUAACCUUGUCAUAAGGAGCACGUUCAAAAUCAUAAAACAUGUUUUCCCAUUUUGACAUUAAGAAAAAUCACUGAAAAGGGGUUGAUGGUAAUGGUUAACAAUGUCAUAAAUCAGCCAUAACUCCCCUUGCUAUCGGGAGAAUGGAAUCAAGGGAGGGGCAAUUGAAUGCAAGCUUAACAAAAAAUGUGAACUUGUUUAAACAUCUAUCAAUGGGUAACGGGGUUAACGUGUUACGCUUGAUGCACUCGGUCUUCUACCCCAAAACACUAGGGCUGUACAAUAGGACAGUUGCAUGCAAUGUUACAUUUGUUGACCCUGGAGUUAUGUUACGCCCCCUCCCCCCCAAUGUUCUGUACUGUUCAGUUGACGUUAUGAUAUAAAAAAGUAGUUGGCUCUGA
Salmo salar (Atlantic salmon) is the source of this 3148-nucleotide non-coding RNA. NCBI's taxonomy places the organism in Eukaryota, Metazoa, Chordata, Actinopteri, Salmoniformes, Salmonidae. The record is from RefSeq and is a predicted model, not a curated record.